AUUCAACUUCUCCUUUGGAAUUUCAUCUGUGUUUAGUUAUAACUAGUAUUUUGCUUGAGUUCAUUUGGUUAAUUGUCAAACUCUAUGACAUGCUUGUUAAUGGCUGAUUUUGCUGAGAAUUGACUGCUAAAAUUAUUUGUAAUUUCUUUUUAUUUAUGGAUAUCACUGUUGGAGCUGUUUGGAAUUGUUUGAUUGAAUUGUUGACUAUAUUUAUGAUUCGCUGCUUUACUGCACGUUUUUUAUGAAUAUGUUGCUGGAGAUAUUGGGUUAAUUGUGUGAUUGUCAUGAGAAAUUGGAAAUACUCUAAGUUGCUGACUGUUUUGUUGGAAAAUUGCUGCUGUUAGUUGAGUUUAGGUUAGAAUGAGGAAUUUCUGGUUAGAAUUGGAUAUGUUGGAUUGUCUGCUUGUGAUUUACUGCACUUUAGACUAAUUUUUGCUGAGAAAAUGCUGUUGACAUUGCGGGAUUAUGCUUGGUUACUGCUGGUUUUGGUGACUUUCGAUGUUGAAAUUGUUUCGGUGAUGUUGAUCGCAAUAAUUCACUGCAUUAAGAUUAUUUGUGCUGUAAACUUGCUGCUGUUAGUUGGAUUAGAGUAGAAUUAGAAUUUUCUGAUGUUAGUUCAUACAUAGAUAAACAUGUUAUGCUUCUUGAGUUGAAUUUUAAUUUGUUUGGUCUGGCUUGACUGAAUUACUGUUGAAUUACUGAGGUAUGUUGCUGAUUUGUGCACAAUUGAUGCUGAUUUUGUGAAUGGAGGUUGAAUGAAUACUUGUUUGUGAUAUUUGAUUUGUUUAAUGCCUUUGCACUCUAAGUGUUCGAGAAAAAAAAUGUCUCAAAAAGUUUUUAAUGAAAUUUUUGGUUUAAUGCUUGAAAUCAAUGUUUGUUUGGAUGACUUGUUCAAAUCACAAGAUCCUCUAAGGUAUGGGUUAUGCAAUGAUGAGCCUUUAUGUUUGGGAGAAAAACAAUAAGGCUAUAUAAAUAAAGUGGAGUGGAUCUUGCUCUUCAUAAUUAUAGUGAUAGUAGUACCGUCCUACAAGCCAGGCUAAUAAGUAAUAAUUGAGUUGCUACAAAAGUUACUGUUUUUCUUUCUUCUAUUACUAGCUCAGACUAAUCCUUGAUGCACUGCAGAAUGUGUUGAGGAGAUGUAGUAGCCUGUUGCUGUCAGGUAAUGUAUGGCAUAUUUGACACAACUUAGUAAAAUAUAGUAUUUAGAUUUACUUUAUCUGAUAUAAUAACUGCUAUAAACUUGUUGGUUGUGAUUAUAUAUGAGACAGUAACUAAUUCUGUUAAAUGAUGGAGUCGUGUAGAGCUUUAAAUGAGAAAAUUCUAAGUCUACAUGCUUUGGCGUUUGGUAACUGCUUUUUUCUCAAAAUAAUGCAACCAAUUUUUGCUUUGGAUACAACUUUUAAUGUAUACAUAUUCAUAGUUAAACCCUUCUUGGAUUGUAUACUUAAUUAUCAUACAAAAACCAUGACUUAAUCAAAACUGAAAUUGACAAGAGAUCAUUCAUUAAGGGGAGCAGAUUCAACUCAGCCAAACAUUUAUUGAGUUUAAGGCAUGUAUACUAUUUCUGACAAAUGUACCCGGGUAGUUGUUUCAUUUUAAGUAUAUUCUAAAUGAAUAAGCCUUUUGAAAAUAAUCUGAAGUAAUUACAUGCUGCAUUAUGUUUGUUUGCAAGUUAUUCUUUCUAUUAGGCCAAAUGCACAUAAAACGCAAAAUAAAGAAUGCAUUGCAGAGGGUACAAGUGUUUUUCUAUAGUGAUAUUUAGUUAACCUAUAAUUGAUUUAUAAGGUCAACUACAUUAACGUGUGUAGAGGCUGAUGUGUUUUCUAUUAUCCAUCGAUGUCUUAUUUGCAGGAUGGUGAGAACCCUGCAGAGGAAGCCAAGGAAAGCAACCAUGGGAGAUUGCUGGCUUGCAUUGCUUCUCGACCUGAUCAAUGUGGCAGGGAUGACGGCUAUAUUUUGGAAGGUGAGCUUGAAUUUUAUAUGAAGAAAAUUCAGAAGGGAAAGGGUGCUGUCUUUAUUCUCAUACUUGUAUAUUGGAUGGGAUGGAAUAGGUCUUAUAAUGACUUUAGUUAUCUACACGUAAUAUUUUGAUUGUACUUUUUGAAAAGAGAUUUUAUCUGGUAUUACAUGUAAUGGACAAAUUACACUCUAUUUUUAUUUGUAUUGUUUGGACUAAAAAUGUAUCUAGCUUAUAAUGAAACUUUUAUGAUUUAAAUUUCUUGAA
This is a non-coding RNA of Arachis ipaensis, 2224 nucleotides long. The record is from RefSeq and is a predicted model, not a curated record. NCBI's taxonomy places the organism in Eukaryota, Viridiplantae, Streptophyta, Magnoliopsida, Fabales, Fabaceae.